CACGUAGGGUGCGAGCGUUGUCCGGAAUUAUUGGGCGUAAAGAGCUCGUAGGCGGUGUGUCGCGUCGGCCGUGAAAACCUGCAGCUUAACUGUGGGCGUGCGGUCGAUACGGGCAUCACUGGAGUUCGGCAGGGGAGACUGGAAUUCCUGGUGUAGCGGUGAAAUGCGCAGACAUCAGGAGGAACACCGGUGGCGAAGGCGGGUCUCUGGGCCGAUACUGACGCUGAGGCACGAAAGCGUGGGGAGCAAACAGG
RNAcentral lists this ribosomal RNA (254 nucleotides) under uncultured bacterium. Its description in RNAcentral is "partial 16S ribosomal RNA". It matches the Rfam family "Bacterial small subunit ribosomal RNA", at positions 524 to 776 of the family's 1533-position model. The record is from RNAcentral.